UUCCAAAAUUAAAAUUUAUUUCUUUCUAGGGAAUGAAUGCACGAGUGUGAGACAGAAGUACGCAGCCCAACAAGCCCUGUACCCCCUGUACCCCCAGCUCAGUGCUUCACCUGAUUCGGCAGCCGACACAAGGACAGUCAAUGUGAUCUUCCAGCUGUGCAGUGUGCCAGGAGCCACAGCCUGCACACAUGAAUGGCUGGAUGCACACAAACCAGCCAUGGUCCUAGGUAGUGGGUGCCUACUGUCCCCAGGGCAGUUUGGGCAUCAUCCCACCUAGCUCACAGCAAUCAGGCCAGCGCCCUACCAGCACCAAGGGCAGCCUUGCAGCUCAUAUCUGAGGCAGCCGCACACCACUCUGAGCUGUAGUGGCGUCUAGCAGGGGCUGGCCUGGACCCCUAAACUGACUCACAUACACGGCCCACGCAGGGCACACAGACACAAAUAAAAAGAUGACUUCUUUGACCUCACUGGAUUUAAGGCUUGUAUUUCCUGAUAUUUGCUUCAGUUUGUUUUCUCUUUGACAUCAAAAUUACCUGAGUAAAAAACUUUUUGACAUUAAAAACAAAAACAACAAAAACAGAAAACAAAACCCCACAAAACCAAAGCACAGACUCUCUGCAGGCAGAGAUGCGGCCGGCAAUGCCACAUGCAUGUCCAGGUCAGGCAAAGGCCCUACACACCCAGGGAGGAGGUGCAUGGGCACCCAGCUCCCCAAACCCACAGUGAGAUGCACU
RNAcentral lists this long non-coding RNA (734 nucleotides) under Rattus norvegicus (Norway rat). Its description in RNAcentral is "long non-coding RNA NONRATT027218". Lineage: Eukaryota; Metazoa; Chordata; Mammalia; Rodentia; Muridae. The record is from RNAcentral.